UACGAAGGGUGCAAGCGUUACUCGGAAUUACUGGGCGUAAAGCGUGCGUAGGUGGUUUGUUAAGUCUGUCGUGAAAGCCCCGGGCUCAACCUGGGAAUGGCGGUGGAUACUGGCAGGCUAGAGUACGGUAGAGGAUGGUGGAAUUCCCGGUGUAGCAGUGAAAUGCGUAGAGAUCGGGAGGAACAUCCGUGGCGAAGGCGACUACCUGGACCAGCACUGGCACUGAGGCACGAAAGCGUGGGGAGCAAACAGG
RNAcentral lists this ribosomal RNA (253 nucleotides) under uncultured bacterium. RNAcentral's name for it is "partial 16S ribosomal RNA". It matches the Rfam family "Bacterial small subunit ribosomal RNA", at positions 524 to 776 of the family's 1533-position model. The record is from RNAcentral.